Molecule: unclassified non-coding RNA, 303 nt
Filed under: Hevea brasiliensis (rubber tree)
Lineage: Eukaryota; Viridiplantae; Streptophyta; Magnoliopsida; Malpighiales; Euphorbiaceae
Source: RNAcentral
UGAGUCAGCUGAAUGCUGUUUCUGGAUCGUCUCUAGUUUUGAACGCAAUGUCAGAUCCUCGGAAGACUUUUGGUGGUCAGUCGGACAUGUACUCUCAGAAGAAGGCUGAUUCACAAGCUGUUUCGGGGACUGGUCUGGUUCGGAGGACAAUACUGCACACUGUUCCUUUGACUCCUUUGCCUCUACCUCAGUUUGCUUUUUGCAUGCUUCUGAGGAGUUUAGCUUGUCUUUGAGAUCAUUUUUGAGCUGAGUGAUUUGGGACUCCAAUUCAGUAACCUUGCUUGCGCCCUUCUCUGACUCCAA